GAUGAAGAACGCAGCGAAAUGCGAUAAGUAAUGUGAAUUGCAGAAUUCAGUGAAUCAUCGAAUCUUUGAACGCACAUUGCGCCCGCCAGUAUUCUGGCGGGCAUGCCUGUUCGAGCGUCAUUACACCCCUCAGGCCCCCGGCCCUGGCGUUGGGGAUCGGCGGAGCCCCCCGUGGGCCCACGCCGUCCCCCAAAUGCAGUGGCGGUCCCGCCGCAGCUUCCAUCGCGUAGUAGCUAACACCUCGCGACUGGAGAGCGGCGCGGCCACGCCGUAAAACACCCAACUCUUCUGAAGUUGACCUCGAAUCAGGUAGGAAUACCCGCUGAACUUAAGCAUAUCAAUAAGCGGAGGA
RNAcentral lists this unclassified non-coding RNA (352 nucleotides) under soil metagenome. Its description in RNAcentral is "partial contains 5.8S ribosomal RNA, internal transcribed spacer 2, and large subunit ribosomal RNA". The stretch from base 1 to 120 matches the Rfam family "5.8S ribosomal RNA", at positions 35 to 154 of the family's 154-position model. The record is from RNAcentral.